GAAUGCUGAGUGUUACAUGAACAUUUAUCAGAGAGCUUAUUUUCCUGACUGCAUCAUGUGAUGUGACAGGACUCAGGGUACAACCUGCUGCCAUUGAGAAGCGAGAAGCACAGAGCAAUGACCAGCUGAGGACACAGACCACUUGUUUCCUGGAGCAUGCAUGCUUCGUGCCUGCUGGCCAUGUGAGAGGACAGCUGGAACAGACUGCCCCCAGUCCUGACCUAUGGUGGGCAAGUCCAGCUGAGUGCAUAAAGACACACUCACUGAGCACUGGCCACACAACUGCAUUGGAAGAAGGAGGGAGAAAUCCAAGAAUAAAAAAGAAUGUACAAAGACA
Neofelis nebulosa (Clouded leopard) is the source of this 337-nucleotide long non-coding RNA. RefSeq lists it as uncharacterized. The transcript has 2 exons. Lineage: Eukaryota; Metazoa; Chordata; Mammalia; Carnivora; Felidae. The record is from RefSeq and is a predicted model, not a curated record.